UUCUCUCUUUCUCUCUUUCUCUCUUUCUUUCUUCCUCUGUCUUUUUAGGGCCGCAGCCACAGCAUAUGAAAUUCCCAGCCUAGGGGUCGAAACGGAGCUGUAGCCUCAGGCCUAUGUCACAGCCACAGCAACACAGGAUUCAAGCCACAUCUGCAACCUACACCUACCAAGCGAGGCCAGGGAUCGAACCUACAUCCUCUUGGGUACUAGUCGGGUUCGUUAUCACUGAGCCACAACGGAACUCCCUAAGUUGACUGUAUUUUCUUUCUCUUUUUACAGCCGUACCUGCGGCAUAUGGAAGUUCCUGGGAUAGGGGUGGAAUCGGAGCUGCAGCUGCAACCUAUGCCACAGCCACAGUCAUGCCAGAUUCUUAACCCACUGAGUGAGGCCAGGGAUCCAACCCACAUCCUCACUACCUGGAUUCUUAACCCGAAGAGCCACAGUGGGAACUCCUUAGACUGACUUAUGACCAACUUAUUCAUCAACUCACUUAUGAUCUUAAAAGAGCUCAGUUGAUACCUAAUGGAAUCUACCUGAUCCAUGAAAUGUAUUAUUUCAUAUAAGUACAAGCAGCAACCAGCAGGCAGAACCUGCCACCAUCACGGGAGGGCCACCUGCUUUAUUCCCCACCCACAUGCUCCUGGAACAGGUACGGGGGGAGGAGUCCAGGAUCCCAGCACUCCCGAUUACAACGGGGUUCUCGGGGACCCUGGGAGCCAUGUGACGGUCUGAAGGCAAACCUUUUGACAUCAAGACGAGAGCGUAAUUUGCCCUCCUCAAAUUCGGGCUCACAGAGGCGAUGCUGAAUGAAGCACCUCCAGGGCCCACGUGACAAGUCCAGUUGUCCUGAAGACCGAAGAAGGAGGGAGGCCCAGGGAACCCCCGCGGCUCUGCCAUCAAGGGGUUUUGUCUUUUCCGAUGUGGAGUGAGGGGCUCUAGGGAUGACUCAGCCCAGCCGCCAUCUGAGUCAACGGCACUGGGACCCCAAGUGAGAGUGGCCUGGCCCAGCCCACCCACCCCCAGGACCAAGAGAGGUGAUAAUAGCUCAUGAUUUUACUACGUCUGGUGGUGUGUGGGGGGGCGCCGUUGUGAAGACAGAGUAGCUGGAAGGAUGCCCAAGCCUCCCCGGCUGUGGGACCCCGGGCAGAGGGCUUCCCUCCUUCUGCUCAUCUGAAAUGAGAGGGUUGAGGACCAGGAACACCCUUCUAAAAAACAAGAGAAAAAAAAAAAACAGGAGUUCCCAUCGUGGCGCAUGGUUAACGAAUCCGACUAGGAACCAUGAGGACGCAGGUACAACCCCUGGCCUUGCUCAGUGGGUUAAGGAUCCAGUAUUGCCAUGAGCUGUGGUGUAGGCCGCAGACGUGGCUUGGAUCCCGCAUUGCUGUGGCUGUGGUGUAGGCCAGCAGCUACAGUUCCAAUUAGACCCCAUAGCCUGGGCACCUCCAUAUGCCGCAGGAGCGGGAGUCAGGAGAACACGGGGUCUGUACUGUGAGCAGGAGAGAGAAUGGCAUCCAGACCAAAGGAGAGGAAAAAAGGGAUAAUUGACAUCCACCAGCGCUGCAGAGAAGCCAGGACGACCGAGGGCAGAAAACCAGCUGUGGGAUUUGGUUAUGAGUUCUCAGCGACUCCUAGAAUGAGAAGGUUCUAUGAAUGGAUGAGGAGGCAGAGGCCCAACUUCUAUGGCCAAGGAAAAGAUGGGAAGGGGAGGGGAGAGAAGAAAACAGGAGCAAGAAAGGUUUGAGAGAAUCUUUAAAGUGAGACCAACAGCACACAUGUGAGUAGAGGGGAGAGACCAAUAUGGCAGAGCUGGAGAAGUGAGAACGGCGAGUAAUUCAGAAUCAUCGAUAUGGGUGAUGGCUGAAGCCCGUCCACGGGCGACGUGGCCCAUGGAGAGACUAGCGAGAAGACAGAGGACCAGGACCCUGAGUUUAAAAGGAACUGGAGCAAGAGCUUCCUCUCCAGUCUCCAUCCUCCGCAUCUAACUCCAAUCCUAAGGCUGGAAUCCAGCCACAUUUGCUUCUAGAGGGGGGCACCCCUAUGAUUAAGGCACAUGGAACGUCUUCCAGUUCUUUGCAACACCGAGGUCCUGUAAGUGGUGAACCAGUAAAUAAAAGGCAGGUCCUUGAGAACCCAGAGGGACAAACAUGGGCUCCUUAACCUGUUCCUUUGAUAGUCUGAAGCUCUGAGCCAUGUCCAAUCAGCCAAUCAGAAACAGAGUCUUUUCUCUUAAUAGAAUACUGGAUAACAUCAACCAGAUGUACCCAACAGAAAUGUGGGUCAUGCAAAAUGCAAGUAAUGAUAACCAAACAAACAGCUAAAAAAAAGUCAGGACUCAACAAAAUGUCUGUACAAAUGAGUUUUUAAGAUACUUUCAUUAAAGUAUAAUUAACAUACAAUAAAAUGUUCGGCUCUUAAUCUGUUGGAUGAGUCUCAACAGCUAUUUAUGUCCAUGUCAUCACAGCCCCAAAGAGAGUCAGUACAUCUGUCACCCAGAAACUUCCCUGCUCUUUCUGGUCCCUUCUCCUCGCUGGCCUCACGAAAUCGCUUGACCACCAGAGACCGGCUUCCUGAUGCACUUCUUUUGCUUUCUAGACCCAUCCAUAGGGUUGUAUCAGGAGUUCAUUCCUUUUAUUGCUCGGUGGUAUUCCACGAUAAUAACAAUUUAUUUGCCCAUUUUUUUCAAACGAUUUCGGCUGUUUCCAGCUUGGGGCCUUACAGAAACUUGCCUAUGCAAGCCCUUUCAUGCAUCUGUGCGUCCUUCUCUCCAAGGUGGAUACUUGGAGUGGAGAAACUGGCUCUCAGUGUAGGUGUUCGAUUUCAUAAAAAGUGCCAAACAGGGAGUUCCCAUCGUGGCGCAGUGGUUAACAAAUCCAACUAGGAACCAUGAGGUUGCGGGUUCAAUCCCUGCCCUUGCUCAGUGGGUUAAGGAUCCGGCGUUGCCGUGAGC
This 2947-nucleotide long non-coding RNA is filed under the name Sus scrofa (pig). RNAcentral describes it as "lncRNA (ENSSSCG00045039228.1)". The record is from RNAcentral. Lineage: Eukaryota; Metazoa; Chordata; Mammalia; Artiodactyla; Suidae.